RNAcentral lists this long non-coding RNA (3293 nucleotides) under Mus caroli (Ryukyu mouse). RNAcentral describes it as "lncRNA (MGP_CAROLIEiJ_G0004752.1)". Lineage: Eukaryota; Metazoa; Chordata; Mammalia; Rodentia; Muridae. The record is from RNAcentral.
AAUUAUCCAGUUCCUCUCUGCCACACACUCACCAGGCGUGGAAAGUGCGGGCGACGCUGAGAUGGAGCGACUUCAAAAAGGACUCUGACCUCCGUGGCCUGUUCCUUGUUUUCUGUUUUACUUUCUUCAGGCUCAGUACAACGAGAGUCCGCCAGUACGAGAAAAGCAGUGUACAGUUAAGUUUUUCCUCGGGUCUCAAUGAGUUAAACGCAUGCAUUAUCUCGUUUGCUGCGAUAGAUUUAUUUUAAUCUCCCAUCAUGCAUUAGCUCCUACAACCCUUUGACGCCAAGAGUCGCCUCUGAAGACAUACAGUGACAAUGAGAAGCCUUGUGAUGUUUUGAGGAUUCAUGGGGAUAUGAAUUAUGAAUUGAAGACAUCCUAGUUGGCAGGACAUUCACAUGGAUUUAACUGUUUUAAAGAGAACAAGCGACAGGCAAUUAGCAUAUUCACAACAUUGUCAAACAGGGCUCUAUUUAGUUCCAAAAUAUUUUCACCACCUCCAAAUAAAAUUAUAGAGCCAUCAAAGAGUUGAUCCUCACUGCUUCUUGUACCAGUUCCAUGGCUUUAACAGUCCAGGACAUUUCACAAGAGUGGCAUCCGGGCCUUUUCCUGUCCUGAUUCACGGACACAGCAAGUGCUCUUGAGAUUCCUUUGUGAUGCAGAACGUUUCUGCAUUUCGUUGUUUUAUACAGUGCUGUGGUUUAAAUCCAAGGUGUCCCUUAUGAGCCCCCAGUUAGACACUCUGGUCUUUAGCAGCUGCUGAUGUGUUUAGAAGGUAGGGCUAGCUAAGGAAUCAUUUUGAAGGCUGUAUCUGUUAGCCAUUGACUUGCCUCCUGCCCACCAGGGUGUGAGUAGCCUCUGCCCAUGUGAUCCCGCUGUCAAGAUGGUCUGCCUAGCCCAGGUACUAUAGGGAGCCCUUGGAAACAGUGAGCACAACAAAUCCUCCCUCCCUCAAAUUUGUAUGUCACAUAACUUGCCACGGUAUGCCACACUUCACUAUUAAGCAUCACCAAGCAACACAAGCAUACUUAGCCCUCUAUAGGUGUUAAGUUGCCGACUCAGUCAACCAAAGAGGGAACAAUAUAUGAAAGAUACAUCAGCCUUCUUUUACUGUCCGGCUUUCUGAACAAUGCACUGCAGUGAUUUCAUCAGCAUUUACCUUGUGUUAUGGAUUACAAAUCAUCUUCACGUGUUCUGGAAGCCUUCCUCAAGGACACCAGGGGAUGGACAAAGCAUAGUUUGCAUUUCUAAUUUGUUUUCAGCUUUGGGCCCCAUUUGUUUCCAUGACUAACCCAAGACUACCAGCCCAGGGAUGGCACCACCCACAAUGGACCCUCCCCUCAUGAUCACUAAUUGAGAAAAUGUCUUAGAGCUGGAUCUCAUGGAAGCAUUUCCUUACCUGAAGCUCCUUUCUCUGUGAUUACUCCAGCUGUGUCAAGUUGACACACAGAACCAGCCAGUACAGUCUUCUUGUAGGAACCAGCCAAAUAAAUGUACCUCUUUGUCUGCCUGGGAAGCCCAGUGUCCUGUCUGGACAGGGGACUCAAAACUGCAUCUCUGCUGCAGGGGUCCUGAGUCUUCCCGCCACUGUGCUUCCUGGCUCGUGCGUUGCUCUCUGCUCAAACAAGAACAGUUUAAAUUACUUUGCCUCAGGUUUUCUGUCUUGCCACAUAUCAUACAUCCAAGACUCUGUGGCUCUCAUACAAGCUACAGUUAGAAUGUUUAUGAAGUGAUGCUUCAGUCUCAAAACCCAGGCCAUUCUCCCACUUAGUGCUGCAGAGAAGACAUUUCACACCAACCUCCUCUUUUUCCUUUUUAGGCAGUCUGUUUUUGUUUGGAUUUUACUGUUGCUAUUUCCUCCCUCCCAUCUGUUUUAUCUUUGAAAUUAGGAAAAUACUGGAUAGAAGUGUGACUCACUUCUACCUAGCAGUAAGGAAGCCAUUUGCCUUUGAAUACAUUAGUUUAAUUCUUUCUCUGGUUACUCCUUCUGUUACAGUUUUUGUUUGGUAAUUAUGUAUAUUAUAAGACAUACAAAUAACAUGUUGGAUUAGCUUUAUGUCAUAGCUAAGCUAUGCUGCAGUUAUACAAACUUCCAAAGUUUCAGUGGCUUGAAUUUUUACAUCUUGCUCAAGCGAUGCCUGGUGUGUUUGGGGAUGAUUGAGGAUUUCCCAGAUUGCUUCAAUUUGGGGGUUUUGGUAUGGCAACAUGCGUCUUCCAAGGUGGCUUCUGGAAUGAAGUAAGGAUCCCGAGACCUUUCUCUGGCCCAUCAGUCCUUCAGUGUAAUUGUUUUGCUCACUCCCAGCAGCGGCUACGAGCCACACCCUCGAGGCACAUGACAUCUGAUGACCUGCACAAUAGGCUGCUAUAAAAUCACAGGCGCGAAUUGAUUCUGAAGACAGAUUACCCCUUUUGACAAACUGAAGAUUCUUUUCAAAGAGAAUUGAUUCAACGUUUUAGGUUCCCUUCUGGCCUCAGUGUCACACUCCUUCUGCUCAGAUGUGGAAAUGGAAGCUCACCUUUCCUCAUUAUUGAAAGUUGGAAUGAGUUUUAUCACCAUGAACCAAGUGGAUUUCCUUUGAGUCAUGUCUGGACCAGGAGAGAAGUGAAGCAUUUAGGUUUGUUUGUUUGUUUGUUUGUUUGGCACCUGAGAGGGUAUAAAGGGCAUGGCUUCUGCUUUUUCUCCCCUUGCCUCUCAGUGUUCUGAAUACACUGAGAUGCUAGCUGUUGAUAUCUGUCCUUGGGUCGGCCUCCACAACAACAGAACAGCAAUGUCUUUGACUUUUGACAUGUGGAUAGACUCCUUCAUACUUUCUAAUCUCUAUAGGAAUUAUUUUUGAUGACUAUAUUUCUUAGCUUAUUUACUGUUUAAAUUUUUUCUCUUUAGAAAAAAAUGAGAAUAAGGAGGAAGGCGACCACUGCAAACAGUCAGCACAGCUCCAGCAAGCAUCGCCUGGGAAGCGGAGAAAGGAAACAGAAAGGAGCAAAAGGCAUGUGUUCUGAUGAUCUUCCAUCAUCAACUUUAUUUUAAAAAACUAUAUUUAGCUGAACUCUUGAAUGAAAGAAAUACAGGAGAAAUUUCUAAUUCAAAUCGCAAAUUCCAAUGUCGUUACUUUGAUGGGCACUUACACAUAUAGAGGUUGGGUUAGCACUAAGACUAAGUCCUUAACUUGGGAGGUCCCUAGAAUUUAAACUUUUGGGAGCUAUGGCAUGAUGUGACCUCAUGAAAUGGCUCCAAGUACAACCCCAUAAAGAUGGUGUACAAGACCCCCUGCUGUGUGUGCAAGGCACAUGUG